Myotis davidii is the source of this 784-nucleotide long non-coding RNA. RefSeq lists it as uncharacterized. The record is from RefSeq and is a predicted model, not a curated record. Lineage: Eukaryota; Metazoa; Chordata; Mammalia; Chiroptera; Vespertilionidae. The transcript is spliced from 2 exons.
CCUUUUGGUUCAUGGGUCAACGCUCAACCACUGAGCAACACCAGUCAGUGUUGACCUGGAGAGUUUUGAAGGGUCUGGAUCACCACUGUGUUUUGUUUUUCUACACGUGCUUUUCUCCCUCAAGCUCCCUCCCUCCUGCACUUCGAUUUGGAAUAUAGUAAAUCUGAGUUGCAGUACUGAGUCUGCCAAUUGCAGUGUCACCUUGGUCAAGUCACUUAACCUCUCUGAACCACCUUCCUCAACUGGCAAAUGAGGGAGUGACUGAGAAGAUUCCUAAGGCCCUUCCAGCUUUCUCCGUCUCCUCUCUCAAGCACCAGGCUCCUGUCCCACAGUCUUUUCUCAGAAGCAGCUAUUGCAGGGUAAGGAUCAGAGAGACCUAGUGUUGGGACCCAGUUUCCACUGGGACUGGCUAUGUGAACUUGGAGGUCAGUAUUGGCAGCUCCCAUCACUCACUGCUCUGCCUGCCCCACUUCCCCCAGCAUCCAGCCUGGGCUGGGUGAAGCUGCUCCAGAAGGAAGGUGUGUGGCAGCAGGCACUGUCUGGGCCAUGGAGGCUGGAGCUGGGUGGCUGCCUACAGUUAGAAUCCCAUGUGUCUGGGGAGCACUCCGCCUGGGUAGUCCAGUCCUAGCUUCCAGCCCUGCAUCACCAUCUGGUUCUGCCUGGGGAUUCUCAGAGGUCACUGGAGGAGGAGGCUGAAGACUCACAAAUACUUCAAAUUUUUUUUUUUAUGUAACAUCUUUCUUGUAAGUCUAUUCCCCUCUCAUAACAAAAGUAUUGUGUAUUA